Molecule: ribosomal RNA, 377 nt
Filed under: Colletotrichum gloeosporioides
Lineage: Eukaryota; Fungi; Ascomycota; Sordariomycetes; Glomerellales; Glomerellaceae
Description: SSU rRNA
Rfam family: Bacterial small subunit ribosomal RNA
Source: RNAcentral
AAAGGCCGGGUAAGUCGUCAGGGCUUUGGGUAACGAGAAAGAAUUGUAAUUUUACCAAAAUAAAGUUUUAAGUACGUAUUAAUAAUGAUAAUAUGUAUAAAAGUCUUGACCAAUUACGUGCCAGCAGUCGCGGUAAUACGUAGGAGACGAGCAUUAUUCAUAUUAAAUAGGUUUAAAGGGUACCCAAACGGUCAAAAUACCUUAAAUAAAGGAGUACUUGACUAGAGUUAUAUGUGAGAAGACCGUACUUGAGGUGGAGAGAUUAUAUUCUGUGAUACCAAAAGGACUGAUAAAGGCGAAGGCUGUCUUUUAUGUGUAACUGUGGUUGUAGGACGAGGGGGGACAGAACUAACAGGAUUUGACACCCCAGUGGUCUU